This 29-nucleotide non-coding RNA is filed under the name Homo sapiens (human). The record is from RNAcentral. Lineage: Eukaryota; Metazoa; Chordata; Mammalia; Primates; Hominidae.
UAUCUAUCAGAGUCACCUGAAAACUUGCC